This 26-nucleotide non-coding RNA is filed under the name Mus musculus (house mouse). Lineage: Eukaryota; Metazoa; Chordata; Mammalia; Rodentia; Muridae. The record is from RNAcentral.
ACCUCAUGUUGUGCCUCCUAAGUGCU